CGUCAGUUCGGUAUACCCCGGGAACUGGGGAUAAUACCGGAUAAAUCACAAAUACUGGAAGGUUUUGUGGUUGAAACUUCCGGGGCCUUUGGAUGGGUCUGCGGCUGAUUAGGUUGUUGCCGGUGUAACGUACCGUCAAGCCUGUAAUCAGUACGGGUUGUGGGAGCAAGAGCCCGGAGAUGGAUUCUGAGACACGUAUCCAGGCCCUACGGGGCGCAGCAGGCGCGAAAACUCUACAAUGCAGGCAACUGCGAUAGGGGAACAUCGAGUGAUACUCAUCUUGGGUAUCUGUCCUCCCGUCUAAAAAACGGGAGUUAGCAAGGGCCGGGCAAGACCGGUGCCAGCCGCCGCGGUAAUACCGGCGGCUCGAGUGGUGGCCGAUAUUAUUGAGUCUAAAGGGUCCGUAGCCGGCUUUGCAAGUCUUUUGGGAAAUCCAGCGGCUUAACCGUUGGUCGUCCGGGAGAUACUACAUUGCUCGGGACUGGGAGAGGUAGGAGGUACUCAGGGGGUAGGAGUGAAAUCCUGUAAUCCUUUGGGGACCACCGGUGGCGAAGGCGUCCUACCAGAACAGGUCCGACGGUGAGGGACGAAAGCUAGGGGCACGAACCGGAUUAGAUACCCGGGUAGUCCUAGCCGUAAACGAUGCUCGCUAGGUGUCACAACAAUCGUGAAUUGUUGUGGUGCCGUAGGGAAGCCGUGAAGCGAGCCACUUGGGAAGUACGACCGCAAGGUUGAAACUUAAAGGAAUUGGCGGGGGAGCAC
RNAcentral lists this ribosomal RNA (762 nucleotides) under uncultured archaeon. RNAcentral's name for it is "bacterial SSU rRNA". It matches the Rfam family "Archaeal small subunit ribosomal RNA", at positions 114 to 879 of the family's 1478-position model. The record is from RNAcentral.